AAAUUCUUAACGGCCGCGGCACUAAAACCGUGCAAAGGUAGCACAAUCACUUGUCCCUUAAAUGAGGACCCGUAUGAAAGGCAACAUGAGAGAAGACCUGUCUCCUAAGGCCAGCCAAUGAAAUUGAACUGCCAGUACAAAAGCUGGUAUUUACAAGCAAGACAAAAAGACCCUAUGGAACUUUAACAAAUUAUUUAUGUAACAUAAAUUAUAGUUUCAGUUGGGACAACUUUAGAGAAAAUUAACCUCUUAAUAAUACACAGACCAACAAGUCUACCCACCCGACCCAGUCACACUGAUUAACGAAACAAGCUACCCUAGGGAUAACAGCGCCACCUUCUCAAAGAGUCCAUAUCAACAAGAAGAUCUACGACCUCGAUGUUGGAUCAGGGUACCCUGACGGUGCAGCAGCUGUCAACGGUUCGUUUGUUCAACGAUUAAUACCC
This 446-nucleotide ribosomal RNA is filed under the name Bradypodion sp. KTH094. RNAcentral's name for it is "partial 16S ribosomal RNA". It matches the Rfam family "Bacterial large subunit ribosomal RNA", at positions 1914 to 2596 of the family's 2925-position model. The record is from RNAcentral. RNAcentral also lists the same sequence under 1 other name. Lineage: Eukaryota; Metazoa; Chordata; Lepidosauria; Squamata; Chamaeleonidae.